UCUACCGACACGGGGUGCCGCAAGGCUGAGAACACACCCGUCGAACCUGUUCGGACAAUGCUGACGAAGGGAUUGUCGCAUGCGCAGAUG
This 90-nucleotide non-coding RNA is filed under the name Actinomyces sp. RNAcentral's name for it is "TPP sequence". It matches the Rfam family "TPP riboswitch aptamer (THI element)". Rfam says of the family: Vitamin B(1) in its active form thiamin pyrophosphate (TPP) is an essential coenzyme that is synthesised by coupling of pyrimidine and thiazole moieties in bacteria. The previously detected thiamin-regulatory element, thi box was extended, resulting in a new, highly conserved RNA secondary structure, the THI element, which is widely distributed in eubacteria and also occurs in some archaea. Lineage: Bacteria; Bacillati; Actinomycetota; Actinomycetes; Actinomycetales; Actinomycetaceae. The record is from RNAcentral. RNAcentral also lists the same sequence under 1 other name.